RNAcentral lists this long non-coding RNA (646 nucleotides) under Homo sapiens (human). RNAcentral describes it as "HSALNT0213005". The record is from RNAcentral. Lineage: Eukaryota; Metazoa; Chordata; Mammalia; Primates; Hominidae.
CCCUAUGAACUAUUUUGGACUGGGGCUGGAACUAGCCUUCAUCCCUACUGCCAGAUGGGCUGAGCGUGAGGCUGGAAACGUGAACAGCUGGCACAGCAGAAGCUGGAGUAAUACUCAUUGCCACAAAGCUGGGCCUGCAGGAUCAAAUCACAGUUGGCCAGCUCUGGCUGGUCGACGCAGUCCCUGCCAGGGUCCCUGGGCUGGGCGGUGGGUGCUGCAGAACGACAGGGGAGAGAGAAGGUGGUGAGGAAGCUCUGUGUAUGCUGAAAAUUCUCACCUGCCAUUUCAUUUCCUUCAAAGGAACACAGCAUUAUAACUGCCAGAUUGAAAACGAAGUGCACUUACCCUGUAACCUUUUAACCAUACGUACAAACUCUAUGAGGGAUGAUGAUUUCUACCUGUUUCUUGGCCUCACUUCAACAUGCAGUGGUCCUCCCAUUAUUAUUUGUGGCCUCAGCCCACUGAAUAGCUCUUCCUAGACUCCCAAAUAUUUAUUGACUGGAUAAUUAAACAUCUCUUGAAGUUAACUCCUUAUGUUUGAGACCUGAAUUACUAAAUGACAACUGUUCUUGCCUCUGGAUUGGGAGAGCAGGUAGGAUCAGCCCCAAGUAAAAUUUUGAGUUAGCAAGAGCUCUUAUCUUUUCCC